GGAAGGAUCAUUACCGAAUCGUCAAACACGGGUUGUUGCUGGCCUCCAAACGGGGCACGUGCACACUCUGUUUACGCAUCCACUCACACCUGUGCACCCUCUGUAGUUCUGUGGAUCGGGAGACACCGUCUUCCUUCCGUGGCUCUACGUCUUUACACACACACCGUAGCGAUGUCUUAUGGAAUGUUUUUUCGCGUUUAACGCAAUACAAUACAACUUUCAGCAACGGAUCUCUUGGCUCUCGCAUCGAUGAAGAACGCAGCGAAAUGCGAUAAGUAAUGUGAAUUGCAGAAUUCAGUGAAUCAUCGAAUCUUUGAACGCACCUUGCGCCCCUUGGUUAUUCCUCGGGGCAUGCCUGUUUGAGUAUCAUGAACACCUCAACUCUCAUGGUCUUCCAUGACGAGCUUGGACUUUGGGGGUUUGCUGGCCAUGCGGGCCGGCUCCUCUUGAAUGAAUCAGCUUGCCAGUGUUUGGUGGCGUCACGGGUGUGAUAACUAUCUACGCUCGCGGUCGUCUGCCAGGUAACCCUCAGCGAUGAAGGUUCAUUGGGGCUCAUAAACGUCUCUCCCUGGCGAGGACAACUUUUGAACGUUCGAUCUCAAAUCAGGUAGGACUACCCGCUGAACUUAAGCAUAUCAAUAAGCGGAGGAAAAGAAACUAACAAGGAUUCCCCUAGUAACUGCGAGUGAAGCGGGAAGAGCUCA
RNAcentral lists this small RNA (704 nucleotides) under uncultured fungus. RNAcentral describes it as "eukaryotic LSU rRNA". The stretch from base 215 to 369 matches the Rfam family "5.8S ribosomal RNA". Lineage: Eukaryota; Fungi. The record is from RNAcentral.